This 501-nucleotide ribosomal RNA is filed under the name uncultured bacterium. RNAcentral describes it as "partial 16S ribosomal RNA". It matches the Rfam family "Bacterial small subunit ribosomal RNA", at positions 29 to 523 of the family's 1533-position model. The record is from RNAcentral.
AUUGAACGCUGGCGGCAUGCCUUACACAUGCAAGUCGAACGGCAGCACGGGUGCUUGCACCUGGUGGCGAGUGGCGAACGGGUGAGUAAUACAUCGGAACGUACCUUAUCGUGGGGGAUAACGCAGCGAAAGCUGUGCUAAUACCGCAUACGCCCUGAGGGGGAAAGCGGGGGAUCGAAAGACCUCGCGCGAUUAGAGCGGCCGAUGCCUGAUUAGCUUGUUGGUGGGGUAAAAGCCCACCAAGGCGACGAUCAGUAGCUGGUCUGAGAGGACGAUCAGCCACACUGGGACUGGGACACGGCCCAGACUCCGACGGGAGGCAGCAGUGGGGAAUUUUGGACAAUGGGGGCAACCCUGAUCCAGCAAUGCAGCGUGAGUGAAGAAGGCCUUCGGGUUGUAAAGCUCUUUUGUCAGGGAAGAAACACCGGCUCUAACACAGUCCGGGAAUGACGGUACCUGAAGAAUAAGCACCGGCUAACUACGUGCCAGCCGCCGCAGUAA